Molecule: non-coding RNA, 182 nt
Organism: Camelina sativa (false flax)
Lineage: Eukaryota; Viridiplantae; Streptophyta; Magnoliopsida; Brassicales; Brassicaceae
Source: RefSeq, a predicted model, not a curated record
ACUACAUAAAACAAAAACCCUUCCGAACAAAUUUUUAUUAUUGGAGCGAAUCAAUGGUUUGGGGUCUCUUUCCCGUUGAUCCACUUUCAGGUGAAGAUAAAUACUAUAUCUUUACAAAGGGGAUUUACAAGAUUGGCCGAAAGGGAUGUGAUAUAAUUAUCAAUAAGGAUAAGGGGGUAUCU